RNAcentral lists this ribosomal RNA (360 nucleotides) under Triticum aestivum (bread wheat). RNAcentral's name for it is "partial small subunit ribosomal RNA". Lineage: Eukaryota; Viridiplantae; Streptophyta; Magnoliopsida; Poales; Poaceae. The record is from RNAcentral.
AUGUAUGGGAGAGGUUGGAGGAAGUUCUAUGAAGACAACAAUCUGGGCAAGGGUCAGAUGGUGGUGUUCUACCUGGAUGAACCUUCGCCUACGGCAUCUAUUUUGUGGUUCCAGGUGGGCAACGGCUCUGAAGAUGAACAGCCUAUGGAAGAGGGUGAUCCCAUUGAAGAUUCAGAUUCAGGUAAUGAGGAUGGAGAAGCUUCAAGCGAUGAUGGUGAAGGCAUUGUUCGCACUAGGGGGGGCUUUUGCUUAAUGAGACAGAGGAUGUUCAGCUACAAGGGCUGCUGCCUCUCAGUGAUGGUUUCAUCAGGUUUGCUUUUGUUCACCGCCUCACAAGGACUGACAUUCGCUUGGGCAUGA